AUUGAACGCUGGCGGAAUGCUUUACACAUGCAAGUCGAGCGGCAGCGCGGGGCAACCUGGCGGCGAGCGGCGAACGGGUGAGUAAUGCAUCGGAACAUGUCCAUGUCGUGGGGGAUAGCCCGGCGAAAGCCGGAUUAAUACCGCAUACGCCCGAGAGGGGAAAGGUGGGGGACGUCGCAAGGGCCUCACGCGAUUGGGUUGGCCGAUGUCCGAUUAGCUAGUUGGCGGGGUAAGAGCCCACCAAGGCGAUGAUCGGUAGCUGGUCUGAGAGGAUGAUCAGCCACACUGGGACUGAGACACGGCCCAGACUCCUACGGAGGCAGCAGUGGGGAAUUUUGGACAAUGGGGGCAACCCUGAUCCAGCCAUGCCGCGUGAGUGAAGAAGGCCUGG
Molecule: ribosomal RNA, 391 nt
Filed under: uncultured bacterium
Lineage: Bacteria
Description: bacterial SSU rRNA
Rfam family: Bacterial small subunit ribosomal RNA
Source: RNAcentral